GACUCGCAGCCUCGUAGGUAUCGAACAAGAACAACAACGCCUCCACCCUCACCCUCUUCCCUCCGGCUGUCCUCCUCCCUCCAGCGACCACCUCACCGUCCUCCCUGCAACGGAAGGAACCAAGCAGAAGGUUUGUAAUAUUUAGCGAAACUGCAAUGGAAGGAACCAAAUAGAAGGUUGUGUUAUCGAUUCCGGUGGCGAAAAGCUGAGGAAUUUGGGGUAAAUCAGGGAAAAUUGGAAAGGGUCAGAUGGCUAAACCUAGGGUUCUUGCAAUCACCAUUCGGGUCUUGUGAUGUGCUUAAUUGAUUUGGAUGCUUGUGAUGUGCUGAAUUGAUGUGGCUGCUUGUGAUGUGCUUUAUGGAACCCGAGUUUGAUUUAUUGAUUUGGCUGCUUUGUUAGAGAAAUUUAUUGUUUUCGUUUGGAUCACACUUUUGAUCUUUAACUCUCUUAAGAAAGAAGACCUAUGGCUUGCUAGUCCAAAUAACUGUAUCAUUCAUGUAGAGUGCCAAUGAAUGCCCGUUCAAUUCAAUUCUAUUAUCAUCUAGUCCAUAUAAAUUUAUUUGCCUGCAUAAAACAAGUCAAACAUGUGAAAAUAUUAUCAAUGAAGCGAGAAGAACUGAACAUGGUUUGUUGAACACAUUACUUCCUGAACCGCCGACAUUUUGUGACACUAGUGUGAAUAAGAACGCAAACUA
Molecule: long non-coding RNA, 695 nt
Filed under: Helianthus annuus (common sunflower)
Lineage: Eukaryota; Viridiplantae; Streptophyta; Magnoliopsida; Asterales; Asteraceae
Description: hypothetical non coding rna
Source: RNAcentral